CAAAUUAGUUGCAAAAACGGGGUGGCCAAAGUUCAACCAAUAACCCUGUACAUAUUGAAACUUCAGAAGUGACUUCAGAAGGGACAUUUUCCUGACAUUAUAAAGAUUCAGAAUUUCAAACAAACAGACAUAGUGAAAGAAAAGCAAAAUUCCUAGUUUUCUAUCAGGAUUUUAAUAAGCCGCAAAAAGCAGUAGCAUAUCAAGAUAUCAAGACACUUCAACUCUACCUAACGUCAGCUUAACUGACAGGCAAAGCGCAGUUAACCAAGGACGACAACCUGGCUCCCAUUUGGCAAACCCACUUAAAUUCCGCAUCCCAUAAAUGGUACAAAACCGCGAACCCGAGCCAGUCAUUUGAAAAUCUUCCAAUGUCAAUGUUUUACAGCAAUAAAUCGGCAUUGAAUAUUUUUUGCUGAUGAAUAAACAAUAUGGAAACAAA
Dendroctonus ponderosae (mountain pine beetle) is the source of this 439-nucleotide long non-coding RNA. RefSeq lists it as uncharacterized. Lineage: Eukaryota; Metazoa; Arthropoda; Insecta; Coleoptera; Curculionidae. The transcript has 2 exons. The record is from RefSeq and is a predicted model, not a curated record.